UACGUAGGGUGCGAGCGUUAAUCGGACUUACUGGGCGUAAAGCGUGCGCAGGCGGUCUGUUAAGACCGAUGUGAAAUCCCCGGGCUUAACCUGGGAACUGCAUUGGUGACUGGCAGGCUUUGAGUGUGGCAGAGGGAGGUAGAAUUCCACGUGUAGCAGUGAAAUGCGUAGAGAUGUGGAGGAAUACCGAUGGCGAAGGCAGCCUCCUGGGCCAACACUGACGCUCAUGCACGAAAGCGUGGGGAGCAAACAGG
RNAcentral lists this ribosomal RNA (254 nucleotides) under uncultured bacterium. RNAcentral's name for it is "partial 16S ribosomal RNA". It matches the Rfam family "Bacterial small subunit ribosomal RNA", at positions 524 to 776 of the family's 1533-position model. The record is from RNAcentral.